RNAcentral lists this small RNA (601 nucleotides) under Sporanaerobacter sp. PP17-6a. Lineage: Bacteria; Bacillati; Bacillota; Tissierellia; Tissierellales; Sporanaerobacteraceae. The record is from RNAcentral.
UUUAAAUGGCAAAGAAGUGGUACAGUAUUCUAGUCAGUACAGCUAUUUUUGAAAACGGGGCUAAAAAUCCGUUAAAGGGCAUAUCGAUGAAGUUCCUGGUUGAGGCUUUCGACGCCCAGUUGAGGGUCUUUUCUGGGAGUAAAAAGGAUGGGGCGACUUGCAACGGCAUGCAGGCGUUGACCCUGCCUUUGUGGAGACUUGUUAUAAAUACUAUACAGUAAUUAUGACAUGAUAAACUUGUGGUUUUAAUUGAAUUACCGCAUAGUAGCCUGCCUUGAGUGAAAUAGGCGGAUGAUAAGUUCGAUUCUACCUGAUUUAGGCCUAAAAUGUGUAGAAUUAUGUUAUCGAAACCUAAUUUGCAAAAGAGGCUGAGAAAUAGGCUGACUGUCAGAGGAAAACUCCUAGACUGUUCAGAUGAGAGGUAUUUUAGGGAUUACAGUGCGGACUAAAUGGUAAUCUAGCCUUGCUUUUGGCAACAGAGCAGAGAUGGAAUUAAAGGGAAACCACUGUUAUGGCGACAUGCAGUUUCUAUCUGGGAAAUCCAACUAGACCUUAAGCCGUAAAAUUUACCUAUUAUACUGCCACUUUUAUGGCUGAUAGC